This 1054-nucleotide long non-coding RNA is filed under the name Homo sapiens (human). RNAcentral's name for it is "HSALNT0115475". The record is from RNAcentral. Lineage: Eukaryota; Metazoa; Chordata; Mammalia; Primates; Hominidae.
UACACCCUCCACAGCCGCUGGCCCGGGUGCUAAGUCCCUCAUUGCCCGGGGCCGGCAGGGCUGGCCGGCUGCUCCGAGUGCGGGGCCUGCCAAGCCCACGCCUGCCCAGAACUCCAGCUGACCCUGAACUCCAGCUGGCUCGCAAGCGCCUCACGCAGCCCCGGUUCCCGCUCGCGCCUCUCCCUCCACACCUCCCUGCAAGCUGAGGGAGUGGGCUCCGGCCUUGGCCAGCCCAGAAUGGGGCUCCCACAGUGCAGCGGUGGGCUGAAGGGCUCCUCAAGUGCCACCAAAGUGGGAGUCCAGGCAGAGGAGGCGCCGAGAGCAAGGGCUGUGAGGACUGCCAGCACGCUGUCACCUCUCAACCAUGUGUAGUAUCAAGUUUCAUCUCUAUUUGGGAAUAACCAGAUUUUCUUUCAUGUCUUCUGUCUUUAGCUCUGAGGGACCAUCAGGAUCCUGCUGCUUGGAUCACAAGCAUGGCAUUAUCAAGAGAUUGGCUCAAACACCAUCUCCUCAGUGUAGACCUUCGUGAUGCUGCCAAGAAGAAUUAACACCUUUUUCAUCCCAUGUCCUCCAGCAGUGUGUGUCUGUGUGUGUCCCUAUUAAGAAAUUGAAGUUCCUCAAAGGCAAGAAUCAUGUUUUUCAUUUCUAUAUUCCUAACCAAAUCAACUACAAUAAAUGCCCAAAUAAGUUUCAUUGAAUGAAUGAAUGAAUGAAUGAAUGAAUGAAAAGGAAAUUAAAAUUACACACACAACAGUGGAUAUGUAGAAAAGACAAGCACAGCAAGAGCAACUAGGCUGCCCAGGGAGGCAGUAUGCAAGUCCAGAACCUAGCUUAUGUUCAGAGGGCUUUCAAAAGACAGAUCAAAGGAAGUGGAGCCUGGGCAAGAGGCAGCCCUAGUCUGUUUACUCUUCAGUCACUUUGUAACUUACCUGCUGCCCCCACCCCAGGUCUGCUUUGACAUGAGAUCUUUAAAUGUUGAGGUGGGAAGGGGGGAAUCGCUUAACUGCUAUCUGAUUCUUCAUCUGUAAAAUAAAGCUACUGACACUGACCUUCC